AUCACUUUUUGGCGUUUUGGCUAAGAUCAAAUGUAAUAUUUGUUCUUAUCUGUUUAAUAUCUGAUAUGUCUUCUGAGGACAAUAUAUUAAGUGGAUUUUUUGGAGCAGGGAGAUGGAAUAGGAGAUUACUCUGUCCACAUAUUGAUCUGGUAUUGCAGUACCUUCUGGAACAGCACACCCCCU
Nyctereutes procyonoides (raccoon dog) is the source of this 183-nucleotide small nuclear RNA. RefSeq annotates it as U2 spliceosomal RNA. The record is from RefSeq and is a predicted model, not a curated record. NCBI's taxonomy places the organism in Eukaryota, Metazoa, Chordata, Mammalia, Carnivora, Canidae. The transcript has a single exon.